RNAcentral lists this ribosomal RNA (516 nucleotides) under Simulium suyoense. RNAcentral describes it as "partial 16S ribosomal RNA". The stretch from base 389 to 516 matches the Rfam family "Bacterial large subunit ribosomal RNA", at positions 2473 to 2601 of the family's 2925-position model. The record is from RNAcentral. Lineage: Eukaryota; Metazoa; Arthropoda; Insecta; Diptera; Simuliidae.
GUCUUUUUGGUAUUUAAUAUAAAGUCUAACCUGCCCACUGAAUAAUUUUUAAAGGGCCGCAGUAUUUUGACUGUGCAAAGGUAGCAUAAUCAUUAGUCUUUUAAUUGAAGGCUGGUAUGAAUGGUUGAAUAAAAUGCAAGCUGUGUCAUAAAAAUUAAUAAUUGAAUUUAACUUUUUAGUUAAAAGGCUAAAAUUUAAUUAAAAGACGAGAAGACCCUAUAGAGCUUUAUAUAAUAAUUAUUUAAAUUAUUAAGAUUUUUAAAAUUUAAUUUUUAUAUUGUAUUUUGUUGGGGUGACAAUAAAAUUUAAAAAACUUUUAUUUAAAAUUUACAUUAAUUUAUGAUUAAAUGAUCCAUUUUUAUUGAUUAUAAAUUUAAGUUACCUUAGGGAUAACAGCGUAAUUUUUUUUGAGAGUUCUUAUCGACAAAAAAGAUUGCGACCUCGAUGUUGGAUUAAGAGUAAUUUUGGGUGUAGAAGUUCAAAAUUUAAGUCUGUUCGACUUUUAAAUUCUUACAU